UACGAAGGGGGCUAGCGUUGCUCGGAAUGACUGGGCGUAAAGCGCGCGUAGGCGGCUUUGUAAGUUAGAGGUGAAAGCCCAGGGCUUAACCCUGGAAUUGCCUUUAAGACUGCAUCGCUAGAAUCGUGGAGAGGUGAGUGGAAUUCCGAGUGUAGAGGUGAAAUUCGUAGAUAUUCGGAAGAACACCAGUGGCGAAGGCGACUCACUGGACACGUAUUGACGCUGAGGUGCGAAAGCGUGGGGAGCAAACAGG
Molecule: ribosomal RNA, 253 nt
Filed under: uncultured bacterium
Lineage: Bacteria
Description: partial 16S ribosomal RNA
Rfam family: Bacterial small subunit ribosomal RNA
Source: RNAcentral